RNAcentral lists this unclassified non-coding RNA (337 nucleotides) under soil metagenome. Its description in RNAcentral is "partial contains 5.8S ribosomal RNA, internal transcribed spacer 2, and large subunit ribosomal RNA". The stretch from base 1 to 120 matches the Rfam family "5.8S ribosomal RNA", at positions 35 to 154 of the family's 154-position model. The record is from RNAcentral.
GAUGAAGAACGUAGUGAAAUGCGAUAAGUAAUGUGAAUUGCAGAAUUCAGUGAAUCAUCGAAUCUUUGAACGCACAUUGCGCCCGCUAGUACUCUAGCGGGCAUGCCUGUUCGAGCGUCAUUUCAACCCUCAAGCCCUGCUUGGUGUUGGGGCCCUACGGCUGCCGUAGGCCCUGAAAGGAAGUGGCGGGCUCGCUACAACUCCGAGCGUAGUAAUUCAUUAUCUCGCUUAGGGUGUUGUGCGGUGCUCCAGCCGUUAAAGACCAUCUUUAACUCAAGGUUGACCUCGGAUCAGGUAGGAAUACCCGCUGAACUUAAGCAUAUCAAUAAGCGGAGGA